RNAcentral lists this ribosomal RNA (222 nucleotides) under Dermateaceae sp. Its description in RNAcentral is "partial small subunit ribosomal RNA". The stretch from base 88 to 222 matches the Rfam family "Eukaryotic small subunit ribosomal RNA", at positions 1667 to 1799 of the family's 1831-position model. Lineage: Eukaryota; Fungi; Ascomycota; Leotiomycetes; Helotiales; Dermateaceae. The record is from RNAcentral.
ACAGUUCACAGACUAACUGGAGGCGGUUCCUUUGACCUAAAUUAUAGUCGGUCACCCUCUGAAAAGAGGAAUGAGAAAUGUUGUACACACCGCCCGUCGCUACUACCGAUUGAAUGGCUCAGUGAGGCUUUCGGACUGGCUCAGGGAGGUUGGCAACGACCACCCAGAGCCGGAAAGUUGUUCAAACUUGGUCAUUUAGAGGAAGUAAAAGUCGUAACAAGG